GCACAGAAAAGCCCCACUUCUCCUCCGCGUCUGGGUGCCGGGCCGUGCCGCGCCCUCCCCCGUGGAACCGAGAUUUAUAAAGCGGUAACCCGCCAGCGCCGGAGCAGCCUCUGCUUAAUCCCGAAGCCAGGCCGGCGUCCUGCGCCGCGGAGGGGAGAGCGGUCGGCAGGAGCCGGGCGGAGGCGCGGGACGCGCAGCAGGCAGCGGGGAGCUCUUCCCGGGAAAGGCCAGCACCUCAGGGGGCGCUUUCUCCCCGUUUCCCCUCAGUCAAACACGCACCAGCAACUUAGAAUUCGAGGCACUGCAGAGCUGGAAGGGGCCUCAGCGCUGCUCCCUCCGCCCCCUCGUUUCACAAACCAGAAAGCUGAGAUCCAAAGCAAGGAAGGGACUUGGCCAAGUUCAAAUUUUCGAGUGGCCAGCUCCUCCUAAUCCACACUGGUGCAGCCCUGUGAUUGAAAUUCAGCUGCAUAGCUCUUGCUGGGAAAUGCGGUGACGGAGCAGUGCAGGCGGCAGCUGCCUCCCACACCUAAGACAGGAGUUCUAAAGCCACGGUCCCUGUGUGAGUCUCCUGGAGCUCAUAGUCCCUCAAAUGGCAGGCAGUUGAAGAGAUGAAGGCCCAGAGGCAUGAACUCCCACAGCCAGAGGAUAUGAGCGGAUUCUACCUGGUGAGCCUGGGUGAAGAGCCCAUGCCCCCAGCCAUAUCCAUGGCCGAGGCUCAGCCCAGACAGGGCACAAAGGGGCUGAGGAAGAGGAAGUAAGAUGCCAGGGUUGCCAUGCAGGAGGGCAGCCCUGAGUGAGAUGGGCAUCGUGGCCUAGGGCCCACCUUCUCGAAGAGCUCAUCAGAACCUUGGACACACCACGUGGCCUAGACUCAGGGCUCCUUGAGCCCGUCCCUCGGAUUGGCUUCGAAUUGUAGGUGAACCCUCUCUAGCUGCCACAUUCACCCUUUGCAUGCCCACACUUUGUCAUCUCCUGAAAAGGUGCAAGAACAUGAUGCCCGGCUGACUCCCAGGGAGCAGGAGCCCCAGAGGUCAGCGGUGUGCAGCCACAGCAGGCAGAGGAGUCUGGAGACCAUGAAUGCCGUGUGUGUCUGCUAAUUUAAAGCCUGGGCCCAGAGGAAAAUGUCUUUGCAUCUUGAAAGAUCUGGACUCCUUCUGCCUUCUGAGCAUCUGUGAGCUGGAGAUACUAAUAGGGCCUUCCCCAUAGAGAUGUUCUGAAGAUCAAAUGAGAGACCUCAUGGAAAGCUGUUAGCACAGAGCUGACUCCCUCUGAAGGAAGACCAGUGAGGCCUGCAAGAUGGCCUCUUGAGGCCAAGCCACUGAGCUGCAGGACAAAGAUGAUCUUUCUGGGCUCCUGAUAUCCAGACCCCGUCUCAUCUUUCAGCAUGUUCAGAGUAUCUGUGGCUGCUGUGGGCAGAGAGGAGGUACCAGGGAAGUCCUGGCAGACUUAUCUACCAGCAGAGAGACUGAGCCUCCAUGCCACCCCAACUCCCGCUGCCCUUUUGACUGAGCUCUGAACACAAGUUAGAGGAGCUGGGGGAAGCUCCAAGCAGUCAGUACAUGAGCCGGUGAGCAUGCGACGUGUCCCGUCUCGUGCUCAGCACUGCAGGGGACAUCCCCACAAAUAUCACAGCUCAAAUUCUCCGGUUGCAAAGGCAAGACUCACAGACAGAGAACAGUAGAAAAGUCUUCAAGAGGCCCCUGGCGUAGUCUGAGGAGCCCUGGACAGAGGUAAGACCAGAGUUCUAUCCCCAGGCCUUGGGCCUGAAGCAGGUACCUGUACCUCCAAAAGCUCCAGCCACACCAAGUUCUAGACAACUUCUCAUUGCCUGGAUUGUGGGUGGCGCAUCUGAUCGGUGGGGACUGACGCCUGGAGCACUGUGCUGAGGAGGACUCUGAGGCAGCAGCAAGCCUGGCAGGACUGUGGUGGCCAACCAGUGAGGCGAACGGUAGGUGCCACCGGGAUGUCACAGGGAUGUACCUUCCGCUUGUUAACCCUUCUGGUUAAGAGCAACUCACUGGGGCCAUUUCUAAGGACCCCUCCAGCUCCCAAAUGGGAGAAUUCUGUGAUGGAAAUGUUACAUUUCAAGGCACUGGCUGGAGCACAAUGAGGCAAAGCAGGAAGAGAUCUGUGUGGGCUGGGAUGAUCAGGGAAGGCUUUGGGAAGGAGGCGGCACUUUAGUGCGGCCUCAAGGUGGGGGAGUGUGAGUAGCUGUACCGGAGGUGGGAGGACGUUUAUGUGCAUAAAACUGGGGCUGAGCAUGGGCUGUUCUUGGUACAGGAGGGAGGCGGCUAGCAUCGCUGGAAUGCGCUGUCUGUGUUUAGGGCAAGUAUGAUUACAUACGUGAGAGCACACAGUCUGAGAGCUUCCCACAUGGAAAGCCACAGAGCAAAGAUGACGUUCCAUGCAUGCUGGCUUCCAGUCCUCACAGCUCCUCUCCAAGGUAAACGCUCUUCCCAGCCUUCCCUAGCGUUCUGUGACUUGCUCAGGGCCACCGCUGGCAGGUGCGAAUCCUGCGUUCAGCCUGGGCAGUGCGGUUCUGAUGGCUUCGGGCAUAACUUCUCUGCCCUGGUGCCUUCUCUACUCUUAGAAGCUGACCAGUAAGGAAACCCAGCAAUGCAGUUGAGACACCAUGGCCGGAUUUGUGGAUUCUAGGGACGAGGAAGAGGCAGGAACAGCUGUAGACUGAGGAAGGAGGGCCUUGCUUGAGUCAUCAAUCACACAAACAGAUCCAAGCCAAGAAGAGGGCAAGGUGGACGUAGAUCAAAGAUAGGCGCUAAGUGCCAUGGGCUAGGGCUUGUUUUAGACUUUCCUCAAGUCCUACAUAAUCUACUGGAAACAACAAAAAUUGUCCCAACACUAUGGGAAUAGGCAAGAAGCUGUGGGAGGGCAUGACAUUCCAGGGACGUGGGGCUCAGCCUGUGAGGAUGGGAAUAGAGCCUGCCAUGGUCUUAACACAAGCCCAGAGGCAGAAGGCAACUGCCUAAAUAAAGAUCUCAUUUCAGACAAAGCUUAACCCUGCCUUUGCCCAGGGCUGCAGCCUCCAGCCGUCUCCACACUGUCCCUGCCUGGCACCUGGUGGUGCGCUGGGGAACUUUGCUGUUUCUCCCUCGUUUCCCAGCCCUCUCUCCUUCCUUCCUUCCUUACUGGGUUCAUGGACAGCUCCAGCCUCCACUCAGCUUGGCCUCUCAAUUCCAUGGCACCCAGAAGGUCCAGUUGUGCACCGCCCUGCCCCCAGGCCCCAAGCAGGGGAAGAGGCUCUGUCUCAUCUUGCUUUCUUCACCUCUCCCACCACCUUUGUCCCCACCCAUCCGGAGAUGCAUCUGAAACCAGCCCCGGUAUGAAACUCUCCAGCCUCUCUCCCAAACAUCCUCGCGUCCCUGCCCCCCUUGCUCUGGUCCCACUCCAUCUCAAGCGCCCUCUGUGGUCCUCCCUUCUGGUUUCUCCCUCUGGCCUCCAGGAGGCCUCUGGUGUCCGCACAACUUCCUGACAUGGAGGAAGGACCAGAGCUGUAACGUGGGGCUGGAAGGUCCCAGAACCACCAGUUAGUCCUGCCCUGCCAACCUCUCCUUGUGAAGCUCUCUCUCCUGCUGUUCAGUCUAUGCUCGAUGACUAGAGGCCUGAUUCUGAAACUCUCUUUUGGGGCCACUGGGUCAGGCAGCCCUCCUCACUGUCAGGAAAUAGAUCCUCAUUUCUUACCUUAAUUUCUCAACUGCAUCUGUUCUUUCUUGUUCUGGGAAGUCGUCCGGUGUGAUGCUGCAGCCAUGCUACUCCUUAGCGCUCUGCUUCCCAACCAAAACAAUGCUCCUUCUCAGCUUUUCCGAAGCUUCCGGCCCCAGCAGUUCUUGGACCUGGGGUACUUUCCUCCCUGCAAGCAACAAAGGAGGACGAGCCCCAGCUUCUCGAAGAUACCUUCGGCUGCCUGGAAGAGGCCUGUGGAAGGCCCCACAACUCUCCGCAGACCUCGGGGCGUUGCUGUUUCUUCUCAGUGGCCCUGGUCUCCUCAGCCAGCUCCAGCUGACUUGGCGUAAUGACUAAGAAAACUUUCCAAACUUUCCGAAGACAGUUGGUGAUCCUCUACCCUCCCGGUGACUGGCCCCAUUCAAGAUGGAGUUGCUGUGGUUCAGAUGCCUCUGACACACCGAUGCGCACAGAUCCAUCUUCAUCUCAGCAACGUCUCUCACACACAGAACCACUGCAAUCCUGUGUGUCUCCUCCAGAGAGGGUUCCUCAGACAGCCAUGUGUAUUUCUCCACUCGGAGAGGGUCGGAGCUCUCCAGGGAACAAUGAAAACCUAAGGAAGAGCAGACCACUUCACAGCCACGUGUGCCCCACCCCACUCUGCUGCAUCCCUAGUUAGACUUCCAUUCCAAGAACUGCCUCAGCUGUUGGCAAUGACAUGCCGACUCCAUCUGCAGAGGAAAAUCAAUGUUUUACAAUGAAGCACCUGCCAUCCACUCUCCUAGGAACCUCUGCCCCUUAUGGAAUAUUCAUGCAGCCUUUCUUUGUAAUCUCGGUCUGAGUUUCAAAAGAUUCCCUAGCAGAGAAGACCAUUUAACAGACAGACCAUUUUACAGUGCAAACACUGAAAAUUCUGCAGGAGAAAAGAGGCACUGGUUUUUUAAAACUGUACUCUGUCCACAGUCAGACACCAUCUCACAUUUCCAAAUAACCCAAACAGUUCCUUCAGUUAGGUAAAUAUGCCUGGCCAAGUGACCAGGCGCUAAAGGGAAUAAUAGGGAAAAGAGAGGGCAGAAAAAAAUGUCAGUGGGCCUAAGACGAAUCUUCUUCUUUUUAAUUUCUCGAUUUUGUGUUUGAUAAAGGGAAAGGGGCCACCAUUAUAAAACAACUUUUACACACUUUUACUUGUGAUUUAGUGCAUGGUGACCUGGAACGUAAAGAAGGUUUAUGAAUGGAAAGACAAAUAGGAUCAUAGUAGGUAACUGAGUUAUUUUUAAAUUUUUAUUCUGUCUCUAUAAGAUUUUUGAGAAGGUAAUCAAUUCACAUAAAGAUCCGAGCAGUUAUAAAGAUUUACAAAGAUUAUACAGUGAUGGAAACUGAAGUAUAUUCUUGGCAACAGUCUCAAUGUAUUUCACGUUUCCUGGCAUUUACAUAUAUAAAUUUUGUAUACAUAAUAUAUAAAUAUUCUUCUAUUUUGCAUAAAAACUAAAAAUACUAAAAAAGUAACAUGAGUAUACAAAAAAGUUAAACAUUGAAAAUAUUAGUUGGAAACUGGCUUAUUUUGCUAACAAUUAUAUUGAGAAUUGUUGCUAGAUUGUUGUUUCUGGGAACAUUGGAGGUGUACUUUCUAUACUUGCUAAAAUACAAGCUUUUCAAGUAUUUUCCAUAGUAUUAAGUGAGACUUUAAAUACUCCUGUUUUUUAAGAUCUAAUUUCUGCUUCAAUUUAUCCUUCUCUUCAUUUUUCCUGUUUGUCCUCAUCUUACCUGUUCUUCCCUGGUUUUGCCAUCUCCCAGUAUUCAGGAAUCAGAGCAAAUAAUUAGUCUGCUUUUCUGCGGAAUAAACUAUUGGGUAUACCAUCAUGCUUUUGAUCUACCACAGAAACAAAUUAUUUUAGCAAGACAUCAUUUUUAUGUAUUGUAUAAUGUAUGUAUUGCUUAUGUUUUAAGCAGAUUUCAGCUCUUUUCCUUCCAUCACAUUUGGAAUUGGGGGCCCAAAAGAUGUGAAGGCAAUAAAGCUUCCAAGAUAACUGGGCUGCAUCCUUAUUUGUAAAAUAAGAAAUACUUUGUUUCCCAAAUUUUAAAGGAGUGUUCCUUCUCCGACCUGUUGCGAUGGAUUUAUUCUAUAGCUAUACAAAUAUACCCUGCUUCA
Molecule: RNA transcript, 5830 nt
Organism: Cercocebus atys (sooty mangabey)
Lineage: Eukaryota; Metazoa; Chordata; Mammalia; Primates; Cercopithecidae
Exons: 9
Source: RefSeq, a predicted model, not a curated record